RNAcentral lists this small nucleolar RNA (143 nucleotides) under Phascolarctos cinereus (koala). Lineage: Eukaryota; Metazoa; Chordata; Mammalia; Diprotodontia; Phascolarctidae. The record is from RNAcentral.
UUGCAAACUCGAUCACUGGCUCUGCAUGACGUUGCAGAAGCAAGGGGAACCAGGUUUGCUAAAGUAAUUGUGGUGAUAGAAGCUUAUUUGCCUUGGAAUUGAAUUGACAUUUUUGAGGCACCUCAUUCUGUCCUAAGACAAGA